UACGUAGGGCGCAAGCGUUGUCCGGAAUUAUUGGGCGUAAAGAGCUCGUAGGCGGCCAGUUGCGUCCGCUGUGAAAUCCCGGGGCUUAACCCCGGGCGUGCAGUGGAUACGGGCUGGCUAGAGGCAGGCAGGGGAGAACGGAAUUCCCGGUGUAGCGGUGAAAUGCGCAGAUAUCGGGAGGAACACCGGUGGCGAAGGCGGUUCUCUGGGCCUGUACUGACGCUGAGGCGCGAAAGCUAGGGGAGCAAACAGG
RNAcentral lists this ribosomal RNA (253 nucleotides) under uncultured bacterium. Its description in RNAcentral is "partial 16S ribosomal RNA". It matches the Rfam family "Bacterial small subunit ribosomal RNA", at positions 524 to 776 of the family's 1533-position model. The record is from RNAcentral.